This 75-nucleotide transfer RNA is filed under the name bacterium. Its description in RNAcentral is "tRNA-Pro". It matches the Rfam family "tRNA". From Rfam's summary of the family: Transfer RNA (tRNA) molecules are approximately 80 nucleotides in length. Their secondary structure includes four short double-helical elements and three loops (D, anti-codon, and T loops). The record is from RNAcentral.
CGGGGCGUAGCGCAGUUGGGCAAGCGCGUUCGGUUCGGGACCGAAAGGUCGGGAGUUCAAAUCUCCCCGCCCCGA